GGGGAAUAUUGCACAAUGGGGGAAACCCUGAUGCAGCGACGCCGCGUGAGUGAAGAAGUAUUUCGGUAUGUAAAGCUCUAUCAGCAGGGAAGAAAAUGACGGUACCUGACCAGAAAGCCCCGGCUAACUAC
Molecule: ribosomal RNA, 131 nt
Filed under: uncultured bacterium
Lineage: Bacteria
Description: partial 16S ribosomal RNA
Rfam family: Bacterial small subunit ribosomal RNA
Source: RNAcentral